This is a long non-coding RNA of Balaenoptera ricei (Rice's whale), 691 nucleotides long. RefSeq lists it as uncharacterized. The transcript is spliced from 4 exons. The record is from RefSeq and is a predicted model, not a curated record. NCBI's taxonomy places the organism in Eukaryota, Metazoa, Chordata, Mammalia, Artiodactyla, Balaenopteridae.
GUGCAGUGUUGACUGGAGUGAUAGUAGAGGACUUCCUGCCCAUAUUUCUUAUUUCAAGGGAGACAUUCUCAGUGUUUCAUCAGUUUGUCCCUGAAACGUGUGUGUAAAGUGAAAGGUGGUAACCCUCGGUCAUCCCAUGGAGUUAGGAGCUGCACACUGCGCUGGUCGCUGGCCACACAGCUACACGCCAAGAGGCUUCUACACAGAAAGAGCUGAGGCUCUAGUGCAUGAGACGGAUGCCAACAGUGUGAUGUGGAUGGUGGGGCAAGGCCGGAGGAGCACGAGCGCCACUCACCAGGAAGAUCAGGUCUGCGCAGGGGCCCUGAGAACAUCUCAGACAAGUUCCCGGUGUUGCUGCUGCUGCCAGGCUGGGACCCACACCUUGAGAAGCACUGCCUGGAGGGACCACCCAUGGGUGAAGAACAGGGCCGUGCCGAGCCAAGCCAGCCCGCCUCCUGCUCCCAGCUCCGCAUCCAAGAUGCAGACCAAAUGACGCGCUGCUCCUUCUUCAGCUGAGUGCUCCUGAGUGUGACCCAUUGAAACAGAAGGAGAACCGCGCAGCAGAAAGACGUCGGCAGGCUCUCUCCAAUGUCCCCAGCACCCGUGGACACGGAAGGUUCGUUAGUCCUGCAGUAAAGGAACCUUGACAGUCGUUUAAGGUAGGCUUCCUGCACUGACAUGACCAUGUAAU